Gallus gallus (chicken) is the source of this 1315-nucleotide long non-coding RNA. Lineage: Eukaryota; Metazoa; Chordata; Aves; Galliformes; Phasianidae. The record is from Ensembl.
GGAAAUCUCUCUGGUAAUCCCUGCAUGCCUGUGGCCUUCUGAAGACAGGUACCCGGAAAUAAAGCAUUUGCUCUUUAACUCCCAGUACACUGCAUGAUGUUGUGAUAUGGAAUACUGAUAACCAAAAAUCAUGAAACCAUGACAUCUUCCCAGCCUGUGCUACUUUAUCCUGAGAAGAAGAAAAAACAAAACAGAAGAACAAAAUAAAACAAAAAAGACAAAAACUAACAAACAAACAAAAAACAUUGAAGCUGGUAAUGCAAUAAGACAAAUGAAGUACAUAAUUGUAUCAUCGAGGACUGAAAGGUAUAGGUGUUGAACCAGAAGCUCAAGAUGGUUCCCUCAAAUAUCUAUUAAUAUAUAAUGGAAAUCUGUGGUUUCUUGAUCUUGAGAUUUCCCACUGACAGAUCUGUCUGGGAGCAAGGCUUUCCCAUCACCCACUGUUUGUAGUCCACCAGGAUGCGCACUUCAACACAGUUGUGGUCAGCAGGCCAUCACACUGCCAAAUUGUGAAGCCAGAUCCCUGAAUGCCUUCACAACACAUAUUAAGAUUCUCAAAACAUGGGUUCUCUGCUGCUAGGAUGAAGCCAUGUUCCUUUAGCAGUUCUCACUGUUGGAAUGUUUGAAAAUACAACUCCUGAAAAUGCACAGAAAUCCUCUAAGAAAUUUAUGGCUUGUGGGUUUCUCUGUUUGAAGUUACUAUUACACCAUCUGAGAAUGUUUUGGUUCAUGGAAAGAACUGCGGAAAGAAAAGGUUUUGGCUAGUUUUGAAUAAAAAUUCUGUAUCAAAAUCAUAGACAACAAAGAUGGAAAGAAUAGAAUUUCUGAUAUUUUGGAGAAGUAAAAUAAUAUGUAUCUUUCAGAUAUGUAUUGUCAACUAUACUGAAAGUUAACUUUUUUUAUUAUUAUUUAUGAAAUGGGAAUAAUACCUGUUGUUGUUUUCUUGUUUGUUUUUUUCAAGGGUGCUUUAUGUAUUACAACAUCUUGUCUCUUCCCUUCUCUUAUAUGAAAACUUGCAUAACUUCAUCUUUAAUGACUUACAUUUAAUUAUCUAUUCAAAAUUAAAUGAAAUAAGGCUUAGUUAUAAAGCAGAGAAUAAUGUACUUUUCUAAAAUGUCUUAAUGACCUGUAAAGUUGGAUUUUUUAUACUGUGAAUGUUUUUGCAGGAAUGGUUUUCUUUACAAGUAUGGUAUUAUUAUAAAAUAUAAGCAAUUAAAUUUACAGGAAAUUGAUUUUUUAUUAUUGUUGUUGUUAUGGUUAUUAUUAUUGUCAGAGAUGUGUGUAAGAAGAUGAUUACACUAUGAAUUCUCACCCU